GAAAAGAGCAUCAUGUCGAGAGCGAAACUCUUCCACAAAACCAAAUACAAAACAGAUGUACUAAGAUGAUACUGACUACGUGAUAUUACUGCAAACCUAGAGGAAGACAAAAAAGGCACCAGCUUCUUGGUAAACACCUUCAGAGUAGUCAACAUAUACAGAAGCAAACGCCACCGUAUUUGAGCUUCAUCCAUCCCAGCCAUAUCAAAUCACCGAAGACUAUAUCCAAUAGAAGAAUGUCCAGAGCAAGAUGUUUUCAUAUCAGAAAGAAAGGAAAGAGCAAAUCUCAAAGAGUUUGUUACCUUGUCACUAUCUCAAGGAAAGAGCAAAUCUCAAAUAUCCAUGAUAUUCCAUCCUCCAAAUCUAUAGCAAAUACACAUUACUACAUUACCCUUCCGUGAGCCAAAUAACGUGUAACUCGAGAAUUCAAAAAAUCAGGACAAGGAAAGAGAGGAUGGGGACUGACAAACCCGAAGAAGCUAAGCUUACUUCCCGUGAAGGCCAGCCAACAAAAUUAACUAACCAGAGACACUCUUGUGAAACCAUAGGUUACUUCCCUCAAAGCCAACAAAACACCAGACUACUGAACUGUAGAAGAUUUUGUCCAAAGCAAAACGUUUCCAUAACAAAAAAACGACGAAUAGGACUCGGAAGAACUUCAACGUUACCUUGACUCCCUGGAGCAAAAAAACUGAAAUACAUUGUAUUGCAUCCUCAAAACCUUCCUUUAGCAGAUAUUUAUUAACCUUCAGAGAGCAGCAAAACAAGUGUUACCAAUAUCAACUAUCAACCCCCAAGAUAAGUAGCCUAGCAAAAUAGGAAACAAGGGAACAUGGCCGAGAAAAC
This 846-nucleotide long non-coding RNA is filed under the name Brassica napus (rape). RNAcentral describes it as "long non-coding RNA (BNAP_LNC001507)". The record is from RNAcentral. Lineage: Eukaryota; Viridiplantae; Streptophyta; Magnoliopsida; Brassicales; Brassicaceae.